UGGGGAAUUUUGGACAAUGGGCGAANGCNUGAUCCAGCCAUGCCGCGUGCAGGAUGAAGGCCUUCGGGUUGUAAACUGCUUUUGUACGGAACGAAACGGCCUUUUCUAAUAAAGAGGGCUAAUGACGGUACCGUAAGAAUAAGCACCGGCUAACUACGUGCCAGCAGCCGCGGUAAUACGUAGGGUGCAAGCGUUAAUCGGAAUUACUGGGCGUAAAGCGUGCGCAGGCGGUUAUGUAAGACAGUUGUGAAAUCCCCGGGCUCAACCUGGGAACUGCAUCUGUGACUGCAUAGCUAGAGUACGGUAGAGGGGGAUGGAAUUCCGCGUGUAGCAGUGAAAUGCGUAGAUAUGCGGAGGAACACCGAUGGCGAAGGCAAUCCCCUGGACCUGUACUGACGCUCAUGCACGAAAGCGUGGGGAGCAAACAGGAUUAGAUACCCUGGUAGUCCACGCCCUAAACGAUGUCAACUGGUUGUUGGGUCUUCACUGACUCAGUAACGAAGCUAACGCGUGAAGUUGACCGCCUGGGGGAGUACGGCCGCAAGGUUG
RNAcentral lists this ribosomal RNA (549 nucleotides) under uncultured bacterium. RNAcentral's name for it is "bacterial SSU rRNA". It matches the Rfam family "Bacterial small subunit ribosomal RNA", at positions 355 to 896 of the family's 1533-position model. The record is from RNAcentral.